Molecule: ribosomal RNA, 253 nt
Filed under: uncultured bacterium
Lineage: Bacteria
Description: partial 16S ribosomal RNA
Rfam family: Bacterial small subunit ribosomal RNA
Source: RNAcentral
UACGGAGGGUGCAAGCGUUAAUCGGAAUUACUGGGCGUAAAGCGCACGUAGGUGGCCUGUUAAGUCGGGUGUGAAAUCCCUGGGCUCAACCCAGGAAGUGCACUCGAAACUGGCAGGCUUGAGUACUGAAGAGGGUCGCGGAAUUCCCGGUGUAGAGGUGAAAUUCGUAGAUAUCGGGAGGAACACCAGUGGCGAAGGCGGCGACCUGGGCAGAUACUGACACUGAGGUGCGAAAGCGUGGGGAGCAAACAGG